AAGUUGACCUUGUGUAAUGUCCCCGCUGACUUGGCCGGGUUGAACCCACAGGGCCAGAUUGUUGUAGUGUGCAGGUUAUUGUUUGUGUCUGAGCAGUUUGGGGUUUAUUUGCCAAGGGAGGCUGUGGAAUGUUAUGGUGUUUUUGUCCCAAUAUUUGGAGGCAGUGCCCUGGAUUAGUUGAUUUCUGCCUGGCUCCCUGAUGUCUGAGUUCUGAGGUGUACCAAGAACUGGUAGUUUUUGCAGUGGGAUGUACCCUAGAAACUGCCUGGAGCUGAGCCAAGGAACUGAAAGGGACUGAGCAAGCAAAGUAAAGAAAGAAUGAAGAAGGGAACUGAGGCAGCUGUCAAGCAGCACCAAGCUCCUCUACAACCAGGAGAAAAUGGGGGAAGCGGGAAGGAAGAAGAGAAGCCCCGUGACUCCUCCCUGAGCCCCAGACAGCCCAGGAACUGCCUCCCUGGGAAUGGUGGCACGGGCUGGACUCUGGAUUGCUCCCUCUGGAUGUGUGGCUCUCCCCUGCAGGAACUCCAGGA
Molecule: long non-coding RNA, 530 nt
Organism: Chiroxiphia lanceolata (lance-tailed manakin)
Lineage: Eukaryota; Metazoa; Chordata; Aves; Passeriformes; Pipridae
Exons: 3
Source: RefSeq, a predicted model, not a curated record